Transfer RNA from Aspergillus versicolor CBS 583.65, 106 nucleotides. It matches the Rfam family "tRNA". Rfam says of the family: Transfer RNA (tRNA) molecules are approximately 80 nucleotides in length. Their secondary structure includes four short double-helical elements and three loops (D, anti-codon, and T loops). NCBI's taxonomy places the organism in Eukaryota, Fungi, Ascomycota, Eurotiomycetes, Eurotiales, Aspergillaceae. The record is from Rfam.
CCCCCGAUGGUCUAGUUGGAUAUGGCGUUCGGCUGUAAUAUCACGUGGUAACCCAGUUAUCAACAUUGUAACCGAAAGGUCGCCGGCUCGAUUCCGGCUCGGGGGA